AGUGAACGCUGGCGGUAGGCCUAACACAUGCAAGUCGAACGGCAGCACAGUAAGAGCUUGCUCUUACGGGUGGCGAGUGGCGGACGGGUGAGGAAUACAUCGGAAUCUACUUUUUCGUGGGGGUUAACGUAGGGAAACUUACGCUAAUACCGCAUACGACCUACGGGUGAAAGCAGGGGAUCUUCGGACCUUGCGCGAUUGAAUGAGCCGAUGUCGGAUUAGCUAGUUGGCGGAGUAAAGGCCCACCAAGGCGACGAUCCGUAGCUGGUCUGAGAGGAUGAUCAGCCACACUGGAACUGAGACACGGUCCAGACUACUAAGGGAGGCAGCAGUGGGGAAUAUUGGACAAUGGGCGCAAGCCUGAUCCAGCCAUACCGAGUGGGUGAAGAAGGCCUUCGGGUUGUAAAGCCCUUUUGUUGGGAAAGAAAAGCAGCAGGUUAAUACCCCGCUGUUCUGACGGUACCCAAAGAAUAAGCACCGGCUAACUUCGUG
This 492-nucleotide ribosomal RNA is filed under the name uncultured bacterium. Its description in RNAcentral is "partial 16S ribosomal RNA". It matches the Rfam family "Bacterial small subunit ribosomal RNA", at positions 29 to 507 of the family's 1533-position model. The record is from RNAcentral.